GGUUGUGGCUCAGGGGGAGAAUGCUUGCCUAGCAUGAGCAAGGUCCUGGGUUCAAUCCUCAGCACCA
Molecule: transfer RNA, 67 nt
Filed under: Marmota monax (woodchuck)
Lineage: Eukaryota; Metazoa; Chordata; Mammalia; Rodentia; Sciuridae
Description: tRNA.Ala
Source: RNAcentral